Molecule: long non-coding RNA, 742 nt
Filed under: Felis catus (domestic cat)
Lineage: Eukaryota; Metazoa; Chordata; Mammalia; Carnivora; Felidae
Description: lncRNA (ENSFCAG00000051779.1)
Source: RNAcentral
CUGAACAUUUCAAUUCAGGUCUGAAGGAGGAGGUCAAAGGGGAUGUGGCCUCCAGUUGACCCAUGAGCUGGCUCCUCCCCCCCACCUCCCCUCCGUUCUUGGUUUGUACUAUUCAUCAUUCCCCUGGUGGGAGCUGUUUCAGAGACAUAGCUGGAGAGAGUAAGGUGUUAAGACUGAUUGGAAAGUACACGUGUCUGAAUGCAAUGAAGGCUUCCACAUAAACUUUAAGAUAUUGGGGGCCAGUGCAGAGAUCUAUUUGUCUAGUGACCACCAAGCAAGCCUCGUAAGUAAGUUCCUUUGCUUAUUCAACCUGCCACCUACCAACCUGGAGUGACCUGUCUCUUCACUCUUUCCUUGCCCUCGGUGUACGAGGCUCAGUUUGGGAACCCACAAGGUCUCUACAAAACUGAAUCUGGUCCACUGUGCCAUCUAGACACCCAGUCAUUCAUUUCCCACUGCCUGAUUUCUUUUUCAGGGAAGACUGUGCAUGAAAGGCAGAGAUACAACUUACAGCACUGCCUCGUGGCCUCUGUGACUGAAUCAGAUGUUGAAUCACUGCGGAAAUACCCCAGGGUUGUGUGUGUAUGGUCAAGUGCAAUAAUAAACACUGAGCACGGCACCUUGAAUGUCCUCAUGAAGGCUUGACGAGCUAUAUUUUCGGAUGCACGGGAAUCCUCCUUGGUGCGACAGGCUUUGCGGCAAGUUGUUAUCCCAGGCUGCUUUUGCUUCUGCUUCAGGCAAC